CAGUAGCCACGGUAAUACGUAGGUGGCAAGCGUUGUCCGGAUUUAUUGGGCGUAAAGCGAGCGCAGGCGGUUUCUUAAGUCUGAUGUGAAAGCCCCCGGCUCAACCGGGGAGGGUCAUUGGAAACUGGGAAACUUGAGUGCAGAAGAGGAGAGUGGAAUUCCAUGUGUAGCGGUGAAAUGCGUAGAUAUAUGGAGGAACACCAGUGGCGAAGGCGGCUCUCUGGUCUGUAACUGACGCUGAGGCUCGAAAGCGUGGGGAGCAAACAGGAUUAGAGACCCCUGUAGUCCCUGUCUCUUAUAA
RNAcentral lists this ribosomal RNA (301 nucleotides) under uncultured bacterium. Its description in RNAcentral is "partial 16S ribosomal RNA". It matches the Rfam family "Bacterial small subunit ribosomal RNA", at positions 509 to 809 of the family's 1533-position model. The record is from RNAcentral.